RNAcentral lists this ribosomal RNA (253 nucleotides) under uncultured bacterium. Its description in RNAcentral is "partial 16S ribosomal RNA". It matches the Rfam family "Bacterial small subunit ribosomal RNA", at positions 524 to 776 of the family's 1533-position model. The record is from RNAcentral.
UACGUAGGGCGCAAGCGUUGUCCGGAAUCACUGGGCGUAAAGGGCGCGUAGGCGGCUUGAUAAGCGUGCGGUGAAAGCCCGGGGCUCAACCCCGGGUCGGCCGUGCGAACUGUCGAGCUGGAGCACUGUAGAGGCAGGUGGAAUUCCGGGUGUAGCGGUGGAAUGCGUAGAGAUCCGGAAGAACACCGGUGGCGAAGGCGGCCUGCUGGGCAGUGGCUGACGCUGAGACACGAAAGCGUGGGUAGCAAACAGG